Pontibacillus chungwhensis BH030062 is the source of this 192-nucleotide non-coding RNA. It matches the Rfam family "6S / SsrS RNA". Rfam says of the family: E. coli 6S RNA was the first non coding RNA to be sequenced, but its function was unknown until recently. It consists of 184 nucleotides that fold into an extended hairpin structure with a large single-stranded internal bulge. NCBI's taxonomy places the organism in Bacteria, Bacillati, Bacillota, Bacilli, Caryophanales, Bacillaceae. The record is from Rfam.
CCGAUCCUGAUGUGUACGUCAUCCAACAAUCGUUUUGACCGAACAUUUUGAACUACGGGAGCUUGAAGUUUCUGUAAGGCAUGCAAGCCUUGUUUCACUUACUUAGAGGACGCAUAAAUUACAGAACAAAGCACCCACUUGCCAAGAGCGGGGUUCAAAACAUUGGACUGUGACGGCACGAUUGGGAUUGGC